CCUACGGGAGGCAGCAGUGAGGAAUAUUGGUCAAUGGACGAGAGUCUGAACCAGCCAAGUAGCGUGAAGGAUGACUGCCCUAUGGGUUGUAAACUUCUUUUAUAUGGGAAUAAAACGUUCCACGUGUGGGAUUUUGUAUGUCCCAUAUGAAUAAGGAUCGGCUAACUCCGUGCCAGCAGCCGCGGUAAUACGGAGGAUCCGAGCGUUAUCCGGAUUUAUUGGGUUUAAAGGGAGCGUAGGUGGAUUGUUAAGUCAGUUGUGAAAGUUUGCGGCUCAACCGUAAAAUUGCAGUUGAAACUGGCAGUCUUGAGUACAGUAGAGGUGGGCGGAAUUCGUGGUGUAGCGGUGAAAUGCUUAGAUAUCACGAAGAACUCCGAUUGCGAAGGCAGUUCACUGGACUGCAACUGACACUGAGGCUCGAAAGUGUGGGUAUCAAACAGGAUUAGAUACCCGUGUAGUC
Molecule: ribosomal RNA, 460 nt
Filed under: uncultured bacterium
Lineage: Bacteria
Description: partial 16S ribosomal RNA
Rfam family: Bacterial small subunit ribosomal RNA
Source: RNAcentral